UCCCAAAUAGUUUAGGCGGUUAGGAUACGUGGCUUUCACCCACGCGACCCGGGUUCGGGUCCCGGUUUGGGAA
This is a transfer RNA of Phytophthora infestans T30-4, 73 nucleotides long. It matches the Rfam family "tRNA". From Rfam's summary of the family: Transfer RNA (tRNA) molecules are approximately 80 nucleotides in length. Their secondary structure includes four short double-helical elements and three loops (D, anti-codon, and T loops). The record is from Rfam. NCBI's taxonomy places the organism in Eukaryota, Oomycota, Peronosporomycetes, Peronosporales, Peronosporaceae.